GGGAUUUUUGUGACCUUGUGACCUCAAGAAAGGAGUCAACUAGGACAGGGGUUAGAUGAGGAGAGGAAAUAGCCCACGAAGGGAACUAGGCCAGGAAAGAAGACUUGUUUAUCCCCAUGUUUAUCCCCAUGUAAGGAAUUAGGUGAGAGAGGAAGCUGUUUGGGUCCCAUGCUCGAUAAUGAGAAAGAGUGAGCUGGGAGAGUCACUCUCCCCCUCCCGUUAGAAUGUUCUGUUCAGAGAAGGAGUCAGGUCGGGGUGACCUAAUAGGGAAAUGUUGCUCGAGUGAGACCACGGGUUGUGCAAGAGGGACCACGGGUUGUGUAAGGACAGCCAAUUGAGGGAGGAUAUCUGUUUAUCUUGAACAAACUGUGUGUUGUCUGAUAAUGGCCAAACAUAUUUGUGUGACGUAAUAAGACUGUAUAAAAGCUCUAGUCUGUCAAUGCAUGGUAGACUUCUCUGGCUAGAGAAGCUCUGCGUGUGAUUCCAAAAUACCUGGCAAAUAAACGACGCCUUUGCAAUCAAUCUCCUGACUCCAAGCCUGUUAAUUCUUGCUUCACUAAGAACCACUUUCGAGGCUCCAACAAUUGGUGAUUACCGACGUGAUUCGCUACAUCUACAUUUAAGAAGACGCUGAUCCGGGCAUUUGGACCCCGGUUGUAUGAAAAAACUCUCCUCAGGGAGGAGUAGCGAAAAUAAACUGUUGCCAUGUAUAAAAAUAAAAAAAGGAGGAAAAAUGAGUGUGUCUCCAUUACUGUCGGCUGAAUGUUUGCCUCGUUCAACAAACAACUCAUUUACAUUUAUAUGUACAACUACAUUCACAUAGGCUAAGGACUAUACUAGGAAGAAUGUAAGCAAAUGGCAUAUGUAUAAAAACCUGGCCAGUAACACCCAUAUCUUUAAGUCUAGAUCUGCCUGUCCCAGUCCAAAACAUCAUGAGAGACCAAACGAGCCCGAAAAGGGAGGGUACGGGAGCCAUCCUACCGUCUGACCAGACCAGCCCAGCUGCUCCUCUGCGCGUGACCGCACAGGAAGUGCUCAGCCUCAAAUUCCCUCUUCUCCGAGAACGCCUCCUCGGGAUGAACAAGAAGUGGGCCAAACGCACGGCCACGAUGACAACAAACUGGCCGGAGCACGGGACAUUUGACCUAAGCCUCUGCGACCUUCUAAUUAGUACAUUUUGAAACCAUAUUAAAGCGUUUGUCGCAUAAUUUUUGUCUAUCGAAAAAUAUUCAAUUGGAAUAAAAUCGCAUGGUGACGAGACCUGCAUUCAAACUAUCA
Molecule: long non-coding RNA, 1278 nt
Organism: Hypomesus transpacificus
Lineage: Eukaryota; Metazoa; Chordata; Actinopteri; Osmeriformes; Osmeridae
Exons: 2
Source: RefSeq, a predicted model, not a curated record